UUGGAGGGCAAGUCUGGUGCCAGCAGCCGCGGUAAUUCCAGCUCCAAUAGCGUAUAUUAAAGUUGUUGCAGUUAAAAAGCUCGUAGUUGAAUUUCGGGAUCAAUUUGUUGGUCGUGCUUCUGUACGUACUGGUAUUAUUGGUUUCUCCCUUCUGAAGAACCUUGAUGUCAUUAAUUUGGUGUCUUGGGGAAUCAGGACUGUUACUUUGAAAAAAUUAGAGUGUUUAAAGCAGGCA
Molecule: ribosomal RNA, 235 nt
Filed under: uncultured Septoglomus
Lineage: Eukaryota; Fungi; Glomeromycota; Glomeromycetes; Glomerales; Glomeraceae
Description: partial small subunit ribosomal RNA
Rfam family: Eukaryotic small subunit ribosomal RNA
Source: RNAcentral